AAGAACCGUGCCAUGGUAGCUUCCCGAUCUUCUUCCACAUUAGCCCGAAUCAUAAGAAUUUCCAUCUCCUUGUGAUAAUCCUCUACACUUUUCGAUCCUUGGUACAAACCUUGCAAUUUUUGAUGGAUUUCCCUAUAAUAGUGACUCGGAACAAACCUCCUCCUCAUCAACAUCUUCAACUCAUCCCAAGUGCUAAUUGGCCUUUC
This 206-nucleotide long non-coding RNA is filed under the name Olea europaea (common olive). RNAcentral's name for it is "long non-coding RNA (OEUR_LNC009279)". Lineage: Eukaryota; Viridiplantae; Streptophyta; Magnoliopsida; Lamiales; Oleaceae. The record is from RNAcentral.